UACAGAGGGUGCGAGCGUUGUCCGGAAUCACUGGGCGUAAAGGGCGCGUAGGUGGUCGGGUAAGCGUGUGGUGAAAGCCCGGGGCUCAACCCCGGGUCGGCCAUGCGAACUGCCCGACUGGAGCAUGGUAGAGGCCAAUGGAAUUCCGGGUGUAGCGGUGGAAUGCGUAGAGAUCCGGAAGAACACCGGUGGCGAAGGCGGUUGGCUGGGCCAUGGCUGACACUGAGGCGCGACAGCGUGGGGAGCAAACAGG
This 253-nucleotide ribosomal RNA is filed under the name uncultured bacterium. RNAcentral describes it as "partial 16S ribosomal RNA". It matches the Rfam family "Bacterial small subunit ribosomal RNA", at positions 524 to 776 of the family's 1533-position model. The record is from RNAcentral.